GAUGAACGCUGGCGGCGUGCCUAAUACAUGCAAGUCGAGCGAACAGACGAGGAGCUUGCUCCUCUGACGUUAGCGGCGGACGGGUGAGUAACACGUGGAUAACCUACCUAUAAGACUGGGAUAACUUCGGGAAACCGGAGCUAAUACCGGAUAAUAUAUUGAACCGCAUGGUUCAAUAGUGAAAGACGGUUUUGCUGUCACUUAUAGAUGGAUCCGCGCCGCAUUAGCUAGUUGGUAAGGUAACGGCUUACCAAGGCGACGAUGCGUAGCCGACCUGAGAGGGGGAUCGGCCACACUGGAACUGAGACACGGUCCAGACUCCUACGGGAGGCAGCAGGAGGGAAUCUGCCGCAAUGGGCGAAAGCCUGACGGAGCAACGCCGCGGGAGUGAUGAAGGUCUUCGGAUCGUAAAACUCUGUUAUUAGGGAAGAACAAAUGUGUAAGUAACUAUGCACGUCUGGACGGUACCUAAUCAGAAAGCCACGGCUAACUACGU
RNAcentral lists this ribosomal RNA (496 nucleotides) under uncultured bacterium. Its description in RNAcentral is "partial 16S ribosomal RNA". It matches the Rfam family "Bacterial small subunit ribosomal RNA", at positions 28 to 506 of the family's 1533-position model. The record is from RNAcentral.